AACCACACUAUCGAUGAAUGGAUUCACCCGCGAGAUGACGUGGUUGUUUCACCUAGAACGAGGACAUGGCAUCCUAUUACCGGUCAUCGCAUGAAAUUAAUAGGAUGCCAUAUCCUCAUCCUAGAUAGAACAACCACGUCAUCUCACGGGUGAAUUCAUUCAUCGAUAGUGUAGUU
Molecule: microRNA precursor, 176 nt
Filed under: Oryza rufipogon (brownbeard rice)
Lineage: Eukaryota; Viridiplantae; Streptophyta; Magnoliopsida; Poales; Poaceae
Description: MIR807 microRNA precursor family
Rfam family: MIR807 microRNA precursor family
Source: Rfam by way of RNAcentral